UUUCCGUAGGUGAACCUGCGGAAGGAUCAUUAUAGAGUUCAUGCCCGAAAGGGUAGACCUCCCACCCUUGUGUAUUAUUACUUUGUUGCUUUGGCGAGCGCAAGCUCGCCGGAGAACACCAAAACUCUUUUUAUUAAUGUCGUCUGAGUACUAAAUAAUAGUUAAAACUUUCAACAACGGAUCUCUUGGUUCUG
RNAcentral lists this unclassified non-coding RNA (194 nucleotides) under plant metagenome. Its description in RNAcentral is "partial contains small subunit ribosomal RNA, internal transcribed spacer 1, and 5.8S ribosomal RNA". The record is from RNAcentral.